GUACAAGUGAAAAGGAGCUCCGGGUAAUUCAGGGACAAGGGAGGGAAAACCACACACGCUUAUGAUCACACUCCAGGGAUGAAAACACGGACAGGUCCAGGAAGAUCUAUAUAAAAGAAAACAAGUCAGGAAAAGACAGGAGACGAGAAUUUACAGGAAAUAGCCGGAGCUACACUGACUAGUGUCGUUCAACGAUCCAGCAGUGAGAAACACUGAGCUGUCGUCUUAAGCAGUGGCUCGAGUGACAAGAUAAUGAGCAACAGUUUCCCAGCAUGCUCUGGCUGUGGUGGUGGAGGUGAAUGAGGGGGAAAGGUCUGUCCUGCUGUCCUGUCUGUACCCAGAUUAUAUACUUGAGGACAAUUCAACAGUGAUGUGGACUCGCAGUGACCUUGAUCCCAAAUCUGUCCACAUACGACGAGAAAUAGGAGACGAUCUUAGAGGACAAAACCAGCGUUACAGCAGACGCACAUCAAUGAAUCGUUACGCUUUCAUCAUUAAAGACUUCAGCCUCACUCUAAGGAAACCCACAAAGACUGACAGCGGCAACUACACCUGCUCCAUCAGUGCUGGAGGAAAAGAACGGAGACUCAGAGACAUCCAGCUGCAGGUCAAAGCAAGUGGAGGUGAAGGUGGAGAAAGGGGUACAGUCUGUCAUCCUGCCCUGCAAAACAACACCUGACCUGCCUGAGGACACCACAGUAGAGUGGACUCGCUCUGACCUCGGACUCAUCACAGUCCAUGAGUAUUCUAACAGAAAUGAUGACCUCAUGACUCAGGAUGAAGUUUACAGAGACCGAACGAAGAUGAAUGAAGACCUGCUGAGAACUGGAGACCUCAGUCUGACCCUGAAACAGCCCACAGAGAGAGACAGUGGAGGAUACAUCUGCACCAUCUACAGGGACAAAGACAUCCUGAGACAGAAAGUUGUACUGCAGGUCAAAAAACCAUUUCCAUCCUGGUUCAAAGAUCUUCUGGUUCUCCUGUUUGUCUUUGUGAUUUUUGGAGGUCUUUUAUAUUAUUUACGUCACUAUUACAUGUCAGAUUACCAGGUGGAGGUGGAUUCAGGGGUGGAGUCUGUAAAGCUGCCCUGCAAAACUAUAUUUAAAUUCCUAAAACACACUAAAGUGGAGUGGAGGGACAGAAACAACAGGAAGGUCCACGUGUAUCACAAUGGCUCUGACCAGGUUAGAGAACAGCACCGGUUUUACAGAAACCGAACAGAGAUGAAGAGGAAUUUACUGAAACCUGGAGACCUCAGUCUGACCCUGACGUAUCCCACUGAUGAUGACAACUCCACCUACACCUGCACCGUCUACAGCAGGAAGGGAAACAUACUGGCAACGAAAAAUGUGCAGCUCCAUGUCAGAGUCCCCCAGGUGGAGGUGGAUUCAGGGGAGGCAUCUGUCCUGCUGCCCUGCAAAACUACUAUAAACCUGCUUAAAGAUGCUAAAGUGGAGUGGAUGACCAAAUUCAACAGGAAGGUCCACGUGUAUGAGACCGGAUCUGACCAGCUUGAAGAUCAGGACAACUAUUACAGAAACAGAACACUGAUGAAUAAAGACCUGCUGAAAACUGGAGACCUCAGUCUGACCCUGAAAUACCCCACAGACUGGGACACAGACAUCUACACCUGCACCGUCUACAACAGGGAGGGAAAAAUAAUCCUGAUGAAACAAGUGGAGCUGAAAGUCAGAGUCUGUCAGGUGGAGGUGGAGGAGGGGGCGGAGUCUGUCGAGCUACCUUUCAAAACCACAGAAGACCUGCCUGCAGAUGCUAAAGUGGUGUGGUGGAACAAUGAUGACAGGAAGGUUCACGUGUAUAAGAACGGCUCUGAUCAGCCUGGAGAACAGCACCAGGUUUACAGAGACCGAACGAAGAUGAAGAGAAGAUCUCUGCUGAAGCCUGGAGACCUCAGUCUGACCCUGGAACAGCCCACAGAGAGAGACAGCGGGAGGUACAGCUGUAGAGUCUACGGGGAGAUCAAGAGAUACAAAAGAGUGCUGCUCAUAGUCAAAGGGAGAGUUCAGGUCCAGGAUCAAACAGGGGACAUCAGGAGCAGAAGCAGCUCCAUUGAUCCGACUCCUCUGAUGGCUGAUCAAUCAGUUUGAUCUGUGUGUUCUUUGAUUAUUGAUCAGUGAUGUCAGAGUGGAGUCAGUGUGAUGUUGUUGUUGUGUGUUUGAGACUUUUAGUGUCCAUGAAGGUCUCUGCUGCCGUAGAUCCUCUGAACUGUGACAGAGGUCUCACUCUGGAGGAAACUCUCAGCACUUUCCAGCAGCUCCUCCAUCAUGGAGGACGUUCCCUCACUGUAACAGGUGGAGGAGAGAGGAGAGGAAGCACAGGUGGAUCCUCUGAGGAAGACAUUAAUGUUAUUACAUGAGUGGAAACAUCAUAGUAAAGAUAAAUCUCCAUGUGUACGAUCUCUGAGGCUCAAAUCAGUCCAGUCAGAUCUGUUGUCCCUUCUAUGUAGGGUUGCCAACUAUCCCGUUUUAUCUAGGAUGUCCCGUAAAAUGACCAACAUAGGUUUCUGCAGUAUUCUACCUUAAAUGUCCCGUAUAAUUACCGUUACCUGGAAUGUCAUUUUCUGACUAACAGCUGGCACUCUAACAAAUACCAAAACUGAUUUGACUGCAAUUACAUCAGAAGAGUACUUGUGUGCAGUCACAUCUGUCAGUGAUGCCCAUCACACACACCAGGUGUGAGGAGUAAUACACGAUUCUUAAAAAUAACGUGCUGUUUGGUCUGCGUAACAUAACAUACUGGGUAACUGAGACCUGUACUUACAAUAUUUUCUUUGAAUAUUUUUCUUUUUUGCUUAUUUUUCAAGGUAAUGCACAUGUGAUUUCUAUCAUCAUUUACUGUAUUUUCUUUAUUGAUUUAGAUGAGGUAUUGAUUAAACUGAAUACCAUUAUUUUACUGCAUUUUGACUGUAAGAAUAUGAACAUACAGUGCAUAUUUACACUGUGCCCAGCUGGCUGUGCAUUGUGCUUCUGCCACACCAGUGUCCCUUAUUUGAUAGUUACAAAGUUGGUGACCCUACCUCUACCUCAGUGUGAUUGUUUAUAUAAGACCUGCCCCGGCGCUAUAAAUGCAAGCAAUUUAAUUAUAAUCAGGCAGGUGUACUUAUCUUAUUUUUAUAAUAAUCCCCAUUAAUGUCCCUGUUCAGUCAAGAGAAUAAAAAUACCCUCUCUGAUCCACUGAGGUUUUUCUUCUGUGGUGUUUCUGACGUUUGAGGAUGAGACCAGAGUUCCUACAGCUUCAGGAAAGUUGGAUUUAAAACUUUAACAUCAGCUGUGUCCUUGUUAGCAAUAAGCUAACAUUUGUAGGCUAACGUGCUUGAACCUGCAUUCUU
Molecule: long non-coding RNA, 3349 nt
Organism: Oreochromis aureus
Lineage: Eukaryota; Metazoa; Chordata; Actinopteri; Cichliformes; Cichlidae
Source: Ensembl